RNAcentral lists this unclassified non-coding RNA (237 nucleotides) under Hevea brasiliensis (rubber tree). Lineage: Eukaryota; Viridiplantae; Streptophyta; Magnoliopsida; Malpighiales; Euphorbiaceae. The record is from RNAcentral.
UGCUCUCCCUAGCUAGCUGGUUUCAUGUUGAAAAAUGUAGUCCACGAGAAGAAUUUUCUUUAUGCGAGUGCGAGCAAGCCUGUCAGCAGUUGGAUCAUUUCUUUUAUUUAAUGUAGAACACCCAACGCAGAUGCAAAGUUGGAGCCCUAGGAGGACUAACUGAUGGAUCAGGAUGGAGCUGUCGACGUCGACGCCUCACCUCGGGCACCGCUACCCAAGCUGAAAUCUGUAAUUAAC